Molecule: unclassified non-coding RNA, 340 nt
Organism: Erinaceus europaeus (western European hedgehog)
Lineage: Eukaryota; Metazoa; Chordata; Mammalia; Eulipotyphla; Erinaceidae
Gene: 7SK
Rfam family: 7SK RNA
About the family: 7SK was discovered as an abundant small nuclear RNA in the mid-70s but a possible function has only recently been suggested.
Source: Ensembl
GGAUGUGAGGGUGAUCUGGCUGCAACAUCUGUCACCCCAUUGAUCGCCAGGGUUGAUUCAGCUGAUCUGGCUGGCUAGGCGGGUGUCCCCUUCCUCCCUCAUCAAUUCAUGUGUGUCCCUCCUGAAGCUGUGUGCUCAGUCAAAGAGGACGGCCUUCCCCAAAUAGAGACGGACCUGUCUUCAGUCGAAAGUAUAGGAGUAGCUGCGCUGGCCUGCUAGAACCUCCAAACAAGCUCUCAAGGUCCAGAAUGCUCCAUCUUACAACUCACCCUGGUGAGCAGAGCUGCUACCACUGAAGAUGCCCCUUUCUACCUCAUUUAUACAGAAGUUGAGCUCACAG